This 500-nucleotide ribosomal RNA is filed under the name uncultured bacterium. Its description in RNAcentral is "bacterial SSU rRNA". It matches the Rfam family "Bacterial small subunit ribosomal RNA", at positions 23 to 518 of the family's 1533-position model. The record is from RNAcentral.
CUUAGGAUGAACGCUAGCGACAGGCCUAACACAUGCAAGUCAGGGGCAGCACAAGGAGCAAUCUGAGGUGGCGACCGGCGCACGGGUGAGUAACACGUAUGCAACCCUGCCUGUAAGCGGGGAAUAACCCGUUGAAAGACGGACUAAUACCGCAUAAUACUAAAUUACUGCAUGGUAAUUUAUUUAAACAUUUAUGGCUUACAGAUGGGCAUGCGCAUGAUUAGCUAGUUGGAGAGGUAACGGCUCCCCAAGGCAACGAUCAUUAGGGGUUCUGAGAGGAAGGUCCCCCACACUGGUACUGAGACACGGACCAGACUCCUACGGGAGGCAGCAGUGAGGAAUAUUGGUCAAUGGACGAGAGUCUGAACCAGCCAAGUCGCGUGCAGGAAGAAUGUCCUAUGGAUUGUAAACUGCUUUUGCAGGGGAAUAAAGUGCAUCACGUGUGAUGUUUUGUAUGUACUCUGCGAAUAAGGAUCGGCUAACUCCGUGCCAGCAGCUGC